AUUGAACGCUGGCGGCACGCCUAACACAUGCAAGUCGAGCGGUAACAUGGUUAGUAGCAAUACUAACUGAUGACGAGCGGCGGACGGGUGAGUAACACGUAGGAACGUGCCCAGAAGUGGGGGACAACAAAGGGAAACUUUGGCUAAUACCGCAUAAAAUCGAGAGAUCAAAGCUGCCGCAAGGGGGCGUUAUUGGAGAGGGCGGCGUCGGAUAGCUAGUUGGUGAGGUAAUAGCUUACCAAGGCGAGGAUGAGUAACUGGUUUGAGAGGACGACCAGUCACACUGGGACUGAGACACGGCCCAGACUCCUACGGGAGGCAGCAGUGGGGAAUCUUGGACAAUGGGGGCAACCCUGAUCCAGCGAUGCCGCGUGAGUGAAGAAGGCCUUCGGGUCGUAAAGCUCUUUAGGCUGGGAAGAAGGUUGGUAGUUUAAGAGACGAUCAGCUUGACUGUACCAGCAGAAUAAGCACCGGCAAACUCUGUGCCAGCAGCCGCCGUAA
Molecule: ribosomal RNA, 501 nt
Filed under: uncultured bacterium
Lineage: Bacteria
Description: partial 16S ribosomal RNA
Rfam family: Bacterial small subunit ribosomal RNA
Source: RNAcentral